AGUGAACGCUGGCGGUAGGCCUAACACAUGCAAGUCGAACGGCAGCACAGUAAGAGCUUGCUCUUACGGGUGGCGAGUGGCGGACGGGUGAGGAAUACAUCGGAAUCUACUUUUUCGUGGGGGAUAACGUAGGGAAACUUACGCUAAUACCGCAUACGGCCUACGGGUGAAAGCAGGGGAUCUUCGGACCUUGCGCGAUUGAAUGAGCCGAUGUCGGAUUAGCUAGUUGGCGGGGUAAAGGCCCACCAAGGCGACGAUCCGUAGCUGGUCUGAGAGGAUGAUCAGCCACACUGGAACUGAGCCACGGUCCAGACUCCUACGGGAGGCAGCAGUGGGGAAUAUUGGACAAUGGGCGCAAGCCUGAUCCAGCCAUACCGCGUGGGUGAAGAAGGCCUUCGGGUUGUAAAGCCCUUUUGUUGGGAAAGAAAAGCAGCAGGUUAAUACCCCGCUGUUCUGACGGUACCCAAAGAAUAAGCACCGGCUAACUUCGUG
Molecule: ribosomal RNA, 492 nt
Filed under: uncultured bacterium
Lineage: Bacteria
Description: partial 16S ribosomal RNA
Rfam family: Bacterial small subunit ribosomal RNA
Source: RNAcentral